GGAUUGAACGCUGGCGGCAUGCCUAACACAUGCAAGUCGAACGGGAGUAGCAAUACUCUAGUGGCGGACGGGUGAGGAAUACGUAGGAAUUUGCCCUUAAGUGGGGGAUAACCCGGGGAAACCCGGAUUAAUACCGCAUGACCUCGAAAGAGCAAAGUGGGGGACCGCAAGACCUCACGCUUUUGGAGAAGCCUACGUCGGAUUAGCUAGUUGGUGAGGUAAUGGCUCACCAAGGCGACGAUCCGUAACUGGUCUGAGAGGAUGAUCAGUCACACCGGAACUGAGACACGGUCCGACUCCUACGGGAGGCAGCAGUGGGGAAUAGUUGGACAAUGGGCGCAAGCCUGAUCCAGCAAUGCCGCGUGUGUGAAGAAGGCCUUGGUGUAAGCUACGUUAACGUUAGGGAAGAAAAACUACGACUCGUAACACAGUGAGUCUUGACGGUACCGACAGAACUAAGCACCGCUAACU
This 471-nucleotide ribosomal RNA is filed under the name uncultured soil bacterium. RNAcentral's name for it is "bacterial SSU rRNA". It matches the Rfam family "Bacterial small subunit ribosomal RNA", at positions 27 to 502 of the family's 1533-position model. The record is from RNAcentral.